UCGAGAAUCAUUCACAAUGGGGGAAACCCUGAUGGUGCGACGCCGCGUGGGGGAAUGAAGGUCUUCGGAUUGUAAACCCCUGUCAUGUGGGAGCAAAUUAAAAAGAUAGUACCACAAGAGGAAUAGACGGCUAACUCUGUGCCAGCAGCCGCGGUAAUACAGAGGUCUCAAGCGUUGUUCGGAAUCACUGGGCGUAAAGCGUGCGUAGGCGGUUUCGUAAGUCGUGUGUGAAAGGCGGGGGCUCAACCCCCGGACUGCACAUGAUACUGCGAGACUAGAGUAAUGGAGGGGGAACCGGAAUUCUCGGUGUAGCAGUGAAAUGCGUAGAUAUCGAGGGGAACACUCGUGGCGAAGGCGGGUUCCUGGACAUUAACUGACGCUGAGGCACGAAGGCCAGGGGAGCGAAAGGG
Molecule: ribosomal RNA, 410 nt
Filed under: Acidobacteriota bacterium
Lineage: Bacteria; Pseudomonadati; Acidobacteriota
Description: Acidobacteria bacterium partial 16S ribosomal RNA
Rfam family: Bacterial small subunit ribosomal RNA
Source: RNAcentral